RNAcentral lists this ribosomal RNA (573 nucleotides) under Bacillus sp. OUCC JB18. RNAcentral describes it as "bacterial SSU rRNA". It matches the Rfam family "Bacterial small subunit ribosomal RNA", at positions 366 to 929 of the family's 1533-position model. Lineage: Bacteria; Bacillati; Bacillota; Bacilli; Caryophanales; Bacillaceae. The record is from RNAcentral.
CCGCAAUGGACGAAAGUCUGACGGAGCAACGCCGCGUGAGUGAUGAAGGUUUUCGGAUCGUAAAGCUCUGUUGUUAGGGAAGAACAAGUGCCGUUCAAAUAGGGCGGCACCUUGACGGUACCUAACCAGAAAGCCACGGCUAACUACGUGCCAGCAGCCGCGGUAAUACGUAGGUGGCAAGCGUUGUCCGGAAUUAUUGGGCGUAAAGGGCUCGCAGGCGGUUUCUUAAGUCUGAUGUGAAAGCCCCCGGCUCAACCGGGGAGGGUCAUUGGAAACUGGGGAACUUGAGUGCAGAAGAGGAGAGUGGAAUUCCACGUGUAGCGGUGAAAUGCGUAGAGAUGUGGAGGAACACCAGUGGCGAAGGCGACUCUCUGGUCUGUAACUGACGCUGAGGAGCGAAAGCGUGGGGAGCGAACAGGAUUAGAUACCCUGGUAGUCCACGCCGUAAACGAUGAGUGCUAAGUGUUAGGGGGUUUCCGCCCCUUAGUGCUGCAGCUAACGCAUUAAGCACUCCGCCUGGGGAGUACGGUCGCAAGACUGAAACUCAAAGGAAUUGACGGGGGCCCGCACAAG